GCUAAUACCGCAUAUGACCACGAACUCUAUGGAGUUUGGGGUAAAAGGCUUCGGCCGCCAGAGGAUGAGUCCGCGCCCCAUUAGCUAGUUGGUGAGGUAAUGGCUUACCAAGGCUUCGAUGGGUAGCUGGUCUGAGAGGAUGAUCAGCCACACUGGGACUGAGACACGGCCCAGACUCCUACGGGAGGCAGCAGUAGGGAAUAUUGCACAAUGGAGGAAACUCUGAUGCAGCGACACAGCGUGAGUGAUGAAGGCCUUCGGGUUGUAAAGCUCUGUUCUCAGGGAAAAAGAAAGUGAUUGUACCUGAGGAGAAAGGACCGGCUAACUUCGUGCCAGCAGCCGCGGUAAGACGAGGGGUCCUAGCGUUGCUCGGAAUUAUUGGGCGUAUAGCGGGUGUAGGUGGCUUUGUAAGUCAGAAGUGAAAGCCCUGGGCUUAACCCGGGAAGUGCUUUUGAUACUGCUUAGCUUGAGUGUGGGAGAGGAUAGUAGAAUUCCUGGUGUAGUGGUGAAAUACGUAGAUAUCAGGAGGAAUACCGGUGGCGAAGGCGGCUAUCUGGCCCAACACUGACACUCAGACCCGAAAGCGUGGGGAUCAAACAGGAUUAGAUACCCUGGUAGUCCGCGCCGUAAACGAUGGAUACUUGUUGUUGGUGGUAUUGACCCCAUCAGUGACGAAGCAAACGCGUUAAGUAUCCCGCCUGGGAAGUACGGCCGCAAGGUUAAAACUCAAAGAAAUUGACGGGGGCCCGCACAAGCGGUGGAGCAUGUGGUUUAAUUCGAUGCAACGCGAAGAA
This 794-nucleotide ribosomal RNA is filed under the name uncultured Bdellovibrio sp. RNAcentral describes it as "bacterial SSU rRNA". It matches the Rfam family "Bacterial small subunit ribosomal RNA", at positions 162 to 968 of the family's 1533-position model. The record is from RNAcentral. Lineage: Bacteria; Pseudomonadati; Bdellovibrionota; Bdellovibrionia; Bdellovibrionales; Pseudobdellovibrionaceae.